RNAcentral lists this ribosomal RNA (199 nucleotides) under uncultured bacterium. Its description in RNAcentral is "partial 16S ribosomal RNA". It matches the Rfam family "Bacterial small subunit ribosomal RNA", at positions 1294 to 1500 of the family's 1533-position model. The record is from RNAcentral.
CGGAUCGGAGUCUGCAACCCGACUCCGUGAAGCUGGAUUCGCUAGUAAUCGCGCAUCAGCCAUGGCGCGGUGAAUACGUUCCCGGGCCUUGUACACACCGCCCGUCAAGCCAUGGGAGCCGGGGGUGCUUGAAGUGCGUCGCCGCAAGGCGCGCCCUAGAGCAAAACCGGUGACUGGGGCUAAGUCGUAACAAGGUACC